CCGCGAAAACUUUACAAUGCUGGCAACAGCGAUAAGGGAACCUCGAGUGCCAGGUUACAAAUCUGGCUGUCGAGAUACCUAAAAAGCAUUUCAUAGCAAGGGCCGGGCAAGACCGGUGCCAGCCGCCGCGGUAACACCGGCGGCUCGAGUGGUAACCGUUAUUAUCGGGUCUAAAGGGUCUGUAGCCGGCCGGAUAAGUCUCUUGAGAAAUCUGGCAGCUUAACUGUCAGGCUUUCAGGAGAUACUGUCUGGCUCGAGGCCGGGAGAGGUGAGAGGUACUUCAGGGGUAGGGGUGAAAUCUUGUAAUCCUUGAAGGACCACCAGUGGCGAAGGCGUCUCACCAGAACGGACCUGACGGCAAGGGACGAAAGCUAGGGGCACGAACCG
This 387-nucleotide ribosomal RNA is filed under the name uncultured bacterium. RNAcentral describes it as "bacterial SSU rRNA". It matches the Rfam family "Archaeal small subunit ribosomal RNA", at positions 339 to 726 of the family's 1478-position model. The record is from RNAcentral.